UGAGUACUUCAAGCUUUUUCCACAUCAUCUGUCGCAGGUUGCCUCCCCGUUCAGUAAGGGCUUGUAGCAAGGCGGUGGGAUACCCCACAGCCCCGCUGAGG
Non-coding RNA from Chelonoidis abingdonii (Abingdon island giant tortoise), 101 nucleotides. The record is from RefSeq and is a predicted model, not a curated record. Lineage: Eukaryota; Metazoa; Chordata; Testudines; Testudinidae.